Non-coding RNA from Phoenix dactylifera (date palm), 2246 nucleotides. The record is from RefSeq and is a predicted model, not a curated record. Lineage: Eukaryota; Viridiplantae; Streptophyta; Magnoliopsida; Arecales; Arecaceae.
ACCCAUCCAAGAAAACCAGCUUGAGACGAAAGGGAUGUCUUAUAUUCCGCCUCAUCUCCGAGCGGCCGCAGCUACUCCAACUCCAUCCGCCACCGCGGCGAUCCCCUCACCGCACCACCGGAGCGCCACCGCGAAGCCUUCCGCCGGAACCCUGGAGACCGUCCGGAGGCUCCCGUCCUCCACCCCCGGAGAUGGCGCCGCCGCGGCCGCCUCCUCCUUCCUCGCCCCCGGCCGCCGGCCUGGCGCCGACGGCGGCCGCCUGGAGUCGCAGCACUCGAGGGCGCCCUCCGUGCCGGAGCCCGUCUUCGGGCAAUGGGAGCCUUCUGAUCGUGUUCUUGCCCUCAGUCCCGAGCAGAUUGAAGAGGUUAGGUUGCGGCUAAAUGUUGAUGUUACAGUUUCUCCUGAUUCCCUUCCUGCGGCUGCACCCAUUGAAUCAUUUAAUGAUAUGUGUUUGCACUCAAGCAUCAUGAAAGAUAUUGCUUUUCAUGAGUACACAAGACCAACCUCUAUUCAGGCACAAGCCAUGCCAGUUGCUCUAAGUGGGAGAGAUCUUCUAGGCUGUGCUGAGACCGGGAGUGGGAAAACUGCUGCAUUUACUAUUCCCAUGAUUCAGCAUUGCUUGGCUCAACCACCUCUCAGGCAUGGAGAUGGACCAUUAGCAUUAGUCUUGUCUCCCACAAGAGAGCUUUCCCAGCAAAUAGAAAAAGAGGUUAAGGCUUUUAGUAGAUCUCUGGAAGCAUUGAGAACAGCCAUAGUUGUGGGAGGAACAAACAUUUCAGAACAGAGGUCUGAGCUACGAGCAGGAGUGCAUGUUGUUGUUGCUACGCCUGGAAGAUUUAUUGAUCAUUUGCAACAAGGAAACACCUCUCUCAUAAGGAUUUCGUUUAUUGUCCUAGAUGAAGCUGACAAAAUGCUAGACAUGGGCUUUGAACCACAAAUUAGAGAGGUGAUGUGUAAUCUUCCGAGAAAGCACCAAACGCUGUUAUUUAGUGCAACUAUGCCCGUAGAAAUUGAACAGCUUGCUCAGGAAUACCUAAGUAACCCGGUGCAAAUAAAGGUAGGAAAAGUGAGUAGCCCAACUGCCAAUGUAUCUCAAAUUUUGGAGAAGGUUGCUGAAAGCGAGAAGAUUGAUCAUCUUCUGGCUUUGCUUGUGGAUGAGGCAUCUCAAGCUGAAAACUUUGGUCAUGCCUAUCCUCUUACCAUCGUUUUUGUUGAGAGAAAGUCAAGAUGUAAAGAAGUUGCAGAAGCAUUGGUAGCCCAGGGUUUGGAUGCAGUUGUCCUCCAUGGUGGUCGUACUCAAAGCGAAAGAGAGGCAGCACUUCGUGAUUUUAGGAAGGGCUCUGCCAACAUUUUGGUUGCGACUGAUGUUGCCUCUCGUGGUCUAGAUGUUACAGGAGUUGCUCAUGUUGUCAACUUCGAUCUUCCGAGGACCAUGGAGGAUUAUGUCCAUCGGAUUGGAAGAACGGGUCGUGCAGGUUCCAUAGGUCGAGCUACAUCCUUUUACACUGAUCGUGACAUGAUAAGGAAAGCCAUUGCUGACAUGGAAUCUGGAAACUCUGUUGCAUAUGCAACUGGGAAGAUUGCAAGGAACAAGGAGAGGGAAGCAGUAACUCUGCAUAGAGAAGCUAGACUUGCAUUGUCUAGGCUCUCAUUGAAUGGUACUGCAUCCAUAAAUAUUGAGGACAAAUAUCAGUAUAUGCUGACCACAACAUCCGUCAAGAAAGAAGGUGCCGCAGAUGGUGCAUGGAAUGAUUAAGGGGGUAUCUCCUUCCUUGCAUGCCUCAUAGGAUCAACUAUAUCACCAAGUUUUAUCUUCAGAGCUCUAAACUCAAAACAACUGUUUUGUUGGAUGGGCUAAUGCCUAGUUAAAAGAUAUAAUGAUUGUGAGUUUGGGAUACAGUGCCUUAGGCGUUGAAACUGACAGCAGCUUGUUGUAAGUGCAUUGAUAUAUUUUCCCUUUUGUAGUCACUCAGUCAAUGAAGUUGAGGAAUUCUCCUGGUGUUGGUUAAAUGAUGCUACUAAGAUCAGAUUUUGUGGCUUCUAGUUAGUGGAUGUUCCUUAUUUUUAUCAGUAUUGUUUUCUUAUCAAAAACAAGAGGACAUAUAUCAGGUGAAAUACUUACAACCACUAGAAGCUAAAUUUCAAAUGCCAUUUACAGUGUCAGAAGGCUAAAAUGACUUAUGACAGUGUAUAGAUAUUGAUUUUUAAUUUGCAAUAAAGGCAAACAUAUGUGAAUACAUGCUAAA